CAGUUGAUUCCUUAUUAUUUAACACUUCUCUGAAGUUCAAGUCUUUUUUUUUUUUCUCUCCCCCUUUCAAUGCAGCCUUCAUCCAAAAGACACCGCCAAAUGCUUUACAAGUAGUACAGAGGAAGAGAAAUUGUUUCUGGCAUUUCUUGCAGUAGUCAGCCCUGAGCAUCCAGAUUGCCCAGCUCACAAAAUGCAGAACCUGAUUUUGUUAGGAUGUACAGAUACUUCUGCUAUCAAACAAACAGACAGCCAGCCCGCUUACCCUGCUACCAGUUAGCCACCAAGUUUAGGAGAAUGAGCAAUGCCUCCGCUGGGGACUUCCCUGGCAGAUCCACGUCUGAACAGCCAGGGCUGGCUUCCAAGAACAUUAAAUUCCAGCUGCUUUUCCAUCCAAGGCAAGGUUAGUUUAGUAUCCCCCUUCCUCCCUGUGUCUUUACAGCAGGAGAUAUUCUAGCCAACGUAUUCGUCAUGUUUCUGAGCCUCCCUGCUGCUUGAUUUAUGCAGAGAGGACCAGGGAGAGAGAUUCCAGUGUGAACUACCUGCAGGUGUGCAGCAGGGUGCUGCAGUCCGUGCGGACCCAGCUAUGCCUGCUAAUCCCCACACGUGGCACCAAGACUGUUUCUUUCCCAUCGGUGCGUGCUGAGAGAUGCCCUCGGUGCCUGGGAGCACCACAGAGACGAGCAGGAGGGCGAGAGGGAUGCUGAGAUGGAGUUUCCAAACUUGCAGCUGAUGUUACUCUCCUCAUUGCUCCUCGUACUUCACUGUGCUGUUAAACUGUAGAUAACUGUAAGGCUUAAAAAAAAAAAAAGUUAUCUUAAUGUUCCCUGUGUCAUGCAGUUUAUGCACUCGUUCUGAGGUGAAGCAAAUGACUUAUGCCUGUUUUUUUUUUUAAGGUAGCUUAUGCAUAUUUGGUGCCUGGCUUAACGCUGCAAGGGACAUAAUUUUCAGUGGUAUAAUGGACCGCUUGAGUCUCUCUUGUCAACUGGGAGUUUGAGUAUGCAGUGCAUUUGGAAACGCAGCCCAUCCUGACCCAGCAACUGGCAAGGGAGAAAUCCAAAUCUAUCAGUCGCUAUUUCAGCCCGUGACUUCUGCUCGCCUUUGUCCCGCCCGAGCGUGGUAAGACACAGCUUGUGUGCUCUUCUGGAGUUGGCUUCGUGUGUGCAGCUGCAUGUUGAAAGGUACCGCAGUGUUUUCAGAAACCCAAAAGGUAGCCAGUCUCCAGCUGGUAAAAUUGUCAUCGUUCAUAGGCUGAUUGAACUGCGGGAAUUCACCCAAGUAGAGGAUCAGGUCCAGUGUACACAGCUGGGCACCAAGCUGAGCUCAGUAACUAUCUGUGCUCAGUGCUAAGCACCGGCC
This 1356-nucleotide long non-coding RNA is filed under the name Chrysolophus pictus (golden pheasant). Its description in RNAcentral is "lncRNA (ENSCPIG00010001465.1)". Lineage: Eukaryota; Metazoa; Chordata; Aves; Galliformes; Phasianidae. The record is from RNAcentral.